UUAACACAUGCAAGUCGAGCGGGCGUAGCAAUACGUCAGCGGCAGACGGGUGAGUAACGCGUGGGAACAUACCUUUUGGUUCGGAACAACACAGGGAAACUUGUGCUAAUACCGGAUAAGCCCUUACGGGGAAAGAUUUAUCGCCGAAAGAUUGGCCCGCGUCUGAUUAGCUAGUUGGUGAGGUAACGGCUCACCAAGGCGACGAUCAGUAGCUGGUCUGAGAGGAUGAUCAGCCACAUUGGGACUGAGACACGGCCCAAACUCCUACGGGAGGCAGCAGUGGGGAAUAUUGGACAAUGGGCGCAAGCCUGAUCCAGCCAUGCCGCGUGAGUGAUGAAGGCCCUAGGGUUGUAAAGCUCUUUUGUGCGGGAAGAUAAUGACGGUACCGCAAGAAUAAGCCCCGGCUAACUUCGUGCCAGCAGCCGCGGUAAU
RNAcentral lists this ribosomal RNA (432 nucleotides) under uncultured bacterium. Its description in RNAcentral is "bacterial SSU rRNA". It matches the Rfam family "Bacterial small subunit ribosomal RNA", at positions 48 to 524 of the family's 1533-position model. The record is from RNAcentral.